This is a long non-coding RNA of Ursus maritimus (polar bear), 1054 nucleotides long. The record is from Ensembl. Lineage: Eukaryota; Metazoa; Chordata; Mammalia; Carnivora; Ursidae.
GUCAUCCCAUGGGUAAGUUCAUUAACUUCUCUGUGUCUUUUUGUUUGCUUGCUUUAUAAAGCGAGGACUCUCACGGUGCCUACUUCGGGGCUGUUUAUCAAUUAACUGAGGUCCUGCUUCAAGAGCACCUGACACAGAGGAAGCACACGAGUAUGGGAGCUGUUGAUGCUGUUAUGAUCGUGGGGGAAGGAAUGCGAGGACAAAGGCUUAGGGCGGUGAAAUGGCUUGUCUGAGGCACCAAGAGGCAGAAGCAGCACUACAACCAAGGUCACCGGGAUCUCAGCUCGGGAAUGUUCCUGCUCUGCCAUUCCAUGAACUUAACACACAGCUCACUGCCUGAACACCCGCUUCAGGAGAACAAGGACCACACCUGCAAUUUCAACUCAGAUCACCUUUGUCUUCGUUACUUGUCCAUCCUGAAGUUUCUCACCUCUUCAAGCUUAACUGAAGCUUCUCCCUGCCCCCUCUCCUUCUGGCCUGGUGCACGAAUAAGAGCAGGAGGAUGUGGGGUCUGGAAGGCAUGGCUGGAGGAAGAGGAACUUACACAGCCUGCUGAAAUAGGGCUGUGAGUUAGGAAGAGAGCCUGGAGAGACGGAAACAGGUGUUGCCUUUGCCUUCACUGCUCAGAGAAGCCAGGACCUUGGGCAAGUCACAAACCCUGCAGCUGAAAUUUCUUCAUUUCUACAGUGGGAUUUUAGACUGGACAAUCUCUAAGACACUCUGGCCUUAACACUUCGACUGAGCAUCAUCCCAAAUAGCUGCUCUUCGUAGAGCUUUCAACUCUCUCUUUCCUCCUCCCCAAGGCCUUGUGUGCAAAGAACCUUACUCUUAAGAGACCUUGACCCUCAGUCACUCCUCUUCUCCAUCUUCAACUUCAUUCUCUCUAAUGGUUCUUUCCUACCAGCAUUUAAUGUACUGAAUGUUUUUUAUAUAUUUCAAACCAGAAAGUGGACUUACACUCUUGUACAUGAUGUAACACCUAGCAUGACACCAGACUUGCCUUCCUACUGUAAACAUCAAUAAACUGGCUAAAAUAUAUGAAAAAAAUUGUGUU